CCUACGGGUGGCAGCAGUGAGGAAUAUUGGUCAAUGGACGAGAGUCUGAACCAGCCAAGUAGCGUGAAGGAUGACUGCCCUAUGGGUUGUAAACUUCUUUUAUAAAGGAAUAAAACGAGGCACGUGUGCCUUUUUGCAUGUACUUUAUGAAUAAGGAUCGGCUAACUCCGUGCCAGCAGCCGCGGUAAUACGGAGGAUCCGAGCGUUAUCCGGAUUUAUUGGGUUUAAGGGGAGCGUAGAUGGGUUGUUAAGUCAGUUGUGAAAGUUUGCGGCUCAACCGUAAAAUUGCAAUUGAUACUGGCAGUCGUGAGUACAGUUGAGGUAGGCGGAAUUCGUGGUGUAGCGGUGAAAUGCUUAGAUAUCACGAAGAACCCCGAUUGCGAAGGCAGCUUACUAAACUGCCACUGACAUUGAUGCUCGAAAGUGUGGGUAUCAAACAGGAUUAGAUACCCGGGUAGUC
RNAcentral lists this ribosomal RNA (460 nucleotides) under uncultured bacterium. RNAcentral describes it as "partial 16S ribosomal RNA". It matches the Rfam family "Bacterial small subunit ribosomal RNA", at positions 338 to 795 of the family's 1533-position model. The record is from RNAcentral.